CCCAUCCCGAACACGGAAGUUAAGCUCUCCAGCGCCGAUGGUAGUUGGGGCUAGCGCCCCUGCAAGAGUAGGACGUUGCUAGGC
RNAcentral lists this ribosomal RNA (84 nucleotides) under Anoxybacteroides voinovskiense. The record is from RNAcentral. Lineage: Bacteria; Bacillati; Bacillota; Bacilli; Caryophanales; Anoxybacillaceae.